GCUAUUUUUGACUACAUGGUUGAUACGUCAACGUUCACGUAUCGCGUUGGAUCAAACUUCUUGGUACCACGACCAGAAAUUAAUAACGGUCUUGAUACAAUAUUGAGACCUUUUGAGUUUGUUGUUUGGAUUGUGAUGAUCACAUUUGCGCUUGUAUUCGUCAUUGUUACUACAUUCUUUAAUCAAAUUUAUACUUUUACUCAAAGAUAUUAUGGUUUUCGGUUAUCUUUGGAAUUGGGGUUUAUGGUAUUUGGCAUUAUAUUGCAACAGCCAGUAGUGGUAUUACCUAUGAAAAUGUAUUUAAUGUAUAGUGGAAUAUUAUUAUUACUUAUUUUUUACAAUUGUGGGUUUUCCAGUUUAAUGACAAAACCCUCAUAUUUACCACAUAUUUCCUAUGGCGACGAACUGGAAAAAAGCGACCUACUGUUUGUAACUCCAAAUUCAGGCUUCUUUAUGUCUCUGGAUGAAUUACGUUACCCUAAUAUUAAAACAAAAUACACACUUGUUAUGGAAGAUGAGCUAAAAUCGAUCUUAGAUAAGUCUUUAAAAGUAGCAAUUGUGAUAGAUCAUUUA
Molecule: long non-coding RNA, 573 nt
Organism: Dalotia coriaria
Lineage: Eukaryota; Metazoa; Arthropoda; Insecta; Coleoptera; Staphylinidae
Exons: 4
Source: RefSeq, a predicted model, not a curated record